CAAAUUUGAAAUCUGGUACUUUCAGUGCCCGAGUUGUAAUUUGUAGAAUUUGUCUUUGAUUAGGUCCUUGUCUAUGUUCCUUGGAACAGGACGUCAUAGAGGGUGAGAAUCCCGUUUGGCGAGGAUACCUUUUCUCUGUAAGACUUUUUCGAAGAGUCGAGUUGUUUGGGAAUGCAGCUCAAAGUGGGUGGUAAAUUCCAUCUAAAGCUAAAUAUUGGCGAGAGACCGAUAGCGAACAAGUACAGUGAUGGAAAGAUGAAAAGAACUUUGAAAAGAGAGUGAAAAAGUACGUGAAAUUGUUGAAAGGGAAGGGCAUUUGAUCAGACAUGGUGUUUUUUGCAUGCACUCGCCUCUCGUGGGCUUGGGCCUCUCAAAAAUUUCACUGGGCCAACAUCAGUUCUGGCAGCAGGAUAAAUCAUUAAGAAUGUAGCUACCUCGGUAGUGUUAUAGCUUAUUGGAAUACUGCUAGCUGGGAUUGAGGACUGCGCUUCGGCAAGGAUGUUGGCAUAAUGGUUAAAUGCCGC
Molecule: ribosomal RNA, 524 nt
Filed under: Hanseniaspora guilliermondii
Lineage: Eukaryota; Fungi; Ascomycota; Saccharomycetes; Saccharomycodales; Saccharomycodaceae
Description: partial large subunit ribosomal RNA
Rfam family: Eukaryotic large subunit ribosomal RNA
Source: RNAcentral